This 410-nucleotide ribosomal RNA is filed under the name uncultured bacterium. RNAcentral describes it as "bacterial SSU rRNA". It matches the Rfam family "Bacterial small subunit ribosomal RNA", at positions 28 to 447 of the family's 1533-position model. The record is from RNAcentral.
GAUGAACGCUGGCGGCGUGCCUAACACAUGCAAGUCGAGCGAUUCUCUUCGGAGAAGAGCGGCSGACGGGUGAGUAACGCGUGGGUAACCUGCCCUGUACACACGGAUAACAUACCGAAAGGUAUGCUAAUACGAGAUGAUAUAUAAAAGUUGCAUGACUUUUAUAUCAAAGCUUUUGCGGUACAGGAUGGACCCGCGUCUGAUUAGCUAGUUGGUAAGGUAMCGGCUUACCAAGGCGACGAUCAGUAGCCGACCUGAGAGGGUGAUCGGCCACACUGGAACUGAGACACGGUCCAGACUCCUACGGGAGGCAGCAGUGGGGAAUAUUGCACAAUGGGCGAAAGCCUGAUGCAGCAACGCCGCGUGAGUGAUGAAGGCCUUCGGGUCGUAAAGCUYUGUCCUCAAGGAAG